RNAcentral lists this ribosomal RNA (250 nucleotides) under uncultured bacterium. RNAcentral describes it as "partial 16S ribosomal RNA". It matches the Rfam family "Bacterial small subunit ribosomal RNA", at positions 524 to 772 of the family's 1533-position model. The record is from RNAcentral.
UACGGAGGGUCCAAGCGUUAUCCGGAACUCUGAUUGGAUUGAAGGUCCGUAGGCGGGCAAUUAAGUCAGAGGUGAAAUCCCACAGCUCAACUGUGGAACUGCCUUUGAUACUGGUUGUCUUGAGUUAUAUUGAAGUGAGUAGAAUAUGUAGUGUAGCGGUGAAAUGCUUAGAUAUUACAUAGAAUACCGAUUGCGAAGGCAGCUCACUAAGUAUACACUGACGCUGAUGGACGAAAGCGUGGGGAGCGAA